GGAGCUUGCUUUAUAUAACUUAGCAGCGAACGUGUGGUGAGUAACACGUAGAUAAUCUAUCCUAUACUGGGGGAUAGCCCGAGGAAAGUUGGAUUAAUACCGCAUAUAGCUAUAUAGUUGCAUGAUUAUGUAGUGAAAGAUUUAUUGGUAUAGGAGGAGUCUGCGGCACAUUAGCUAGUAGGUGAGGUAAAGGCUUACCUAGGCGACGAUGUGUAGCCGGUCUGAGAGGAUGAACGGCCACAAUGGAACUGAGACACGGUCCAUACUCCUACGGGAGGCAGCAGUGGGGAAUAUUGCACAAUGGGGGAAACCCUGAUGCAGCAACGCCGCGUGAGUGAAGAAGGUUUUCGGAUUGUAAAGCUCUGUUAGCAGGGAAGAGGAAGGACGGUACCUGCAGAGGAAGCCACGGCUAACUACGUGCCAGCAGCCGCGGUAAUACGUAGGUGGCAAGCGUUGUUCGGAAUAACUGGGCGUAAAGGAUGCGUAGGCGGUUAAACAAGUUAUAUGUUAAAUAUAUAGGCUUAACCUGUAGAAAGCAUAUAAAACUGUUUAACUAGAGUGCAGGAGAGGUAAGUGGAAUUCCUAGUGUAGCGGUGAAAUGCGUAGAGAUUAGGAAGAACACCAGUGGCGAAGGCGACUUACUGGACUGUAACUGACGCUGAGGCA
RNAcentral lists this ribosomal RNA (666 nucleotides) under uncultured bacterium. RNAcentral's name for it is "bacterial SSU rRNA". It matches the Rfam family "Bacterial small subunit ribosomal RNA", at positions 75 to 753 of the family's 1533-position model. The record is from RNAcentral.